This 132-nucleotide ribosomal RNA is filed under the name Lachancea kluyveri. RNAcentral's name for it is "partial 26S ribosomal RNA". Lineage: Eukaryota; Fungi; Ascomycota; Saccharomycetes; Saccharomycetales; Saccharomycetaceae. The record is from RNAcentral.
GGCCAACAUCAGUUUUGGCGGUGGGAUAAAUCCUUAGGAAUGUGGCUUGUCCUCGGAGUAAGUGUUAUAGCCUGUGGGAAUACCGCCAGCCGGGAAUGAGGACUGCGACUUUGUCAAGGAUGUUGGCAUAAU